Long non-coding RNA from Trichomycterus rosablanca, 733 nucleotides. RefSeq lists it as uncharacterized. The transcript has 2 exons. Lineage: Eukaryota; Metazoa; Chordata; Actinopteri; Siluriformes; Trichomycteridae. The record is from RefSeq and is a predicted model, not a curated record.
CCAAUUUCAAACCUUCCUUUUGUCUCAAAGAUAUUAGAAAAAGUUGUUUCCAAACAAUUAUGUUCUUAUUUGAAUGAAAAUUGUAUUCAUGAAAAAUUUCAAUCAGGAUUUAGACCCAACCAUAGUACCGAAACCGCAUUAAUUAGAGUAGUUAACGAGUUGUUAAUGUCUUCUGAUAAUGGAUGUGUCUCUUUUCUUGUUCUAUUAGAUCUUAGUGCAGCGUUUGAUACGGUCGAUCAUAACAUUUUACUGGAGAGGCUAGAAAAUACAGGCAUUCUGGUGGGAACCUGUUUACACGCCAAGGUUAAGGAUUAAAGUCGAGUCGCCACGGCAGUCGACACUGUUCCUGCCGGAUGUGACGGGUCUGGAGUAAUUUUCACCAAGAAUGACAAGAAAUCACUACAGACUUUAUUGAAGAUUAUUUAUCUAUUUAUUACCAGUUAUAACUUUUAGUUCAUUUAAUUCUGUGUUUAGAUGCUUUGUGUAAAUUAUGUAUUUAUUUAAAGUAUCCUCCAGACCACCCAAGAAGGAUGGGCCCUGCUGAGUCUGGUUCCUCUCAAGGUUUCUUCCUGUAAUUUUCAGGGAGUUUUUCCUUGCCACAGUCGCCCUCGGCUUGCUCAACAGGGGUUUUUGUAUCUAUUGGUCAUGGAUUUUGUAAAGUUGCUUUGUGACAAUGUCUAUUGUAAAAAGCGCUAUAUAAAUAAAGUUGACUUGACUUUAGUGGACAAACCUA